GUUGACAAAUGCCCAUUUAUAUAUUCCAAUGCAUCAUUCCCUCACUGCAGGUGGCUAGUGAAGAAAGGGAAGAGCAAGAAAGCAGAUAAGACCCUCCACAGGUUACGUAAGGACUACACUGAGGAAGAGAUAAAGGAAGAACUGAACGACAUUGAGUUUACUGUACUGAACUCAAACAAUUCUUUAAGGGACGCAUUUAGUGAUAUAUUUAGAUGGAGGAUACUGGAAAGGAUACUGUUGGGAGUUAUACUGCAAAAGGAAUGUCAUCAUGUAUUACUCAACCUCAAUAUUCUGCAGUAUAGACGUAUCCAGUUAUGCUGCUACAGCAAUAGUGGGUGUGGUAAACUUCUUGACUACUCUCAUCACUCUCUUUAUUGUCGACAAGGUUGAACGUAAGACCCUGUUGCUAGUUGGGGCACUUUGUAUCUAUACUGGCAGCUGGUCUCCUCAUUUAUAUCUUUAAUGUUGAUGAGGAGAGAGAGGAGGAGGAGAGACAGGUUGUUGGAUAUUUUGUGGCUCUCCUGAUUGUACUCUUUGUGUCUUUCUUUGCAUCUACCUGGGGGCCAGUUGUUUGGGUAAUGACUAGUGAAAUAUUCCCUCUCUCUGUUGGAGUUUUUGGGAACUUUGUGGUUGCUAUGGUAACCCCAUUACUUCUCGGUUCUGUACUAAAGACGGCCGGUACAUUCUACAUACUGGCAGGGUUUCUCUUUGCCUCAUUUUUAUUUGUGUUGCUAACACUUCCUGAAACAAAAGGAGAGAGUUUAGAGAGAACAAGAACAUAAAAAAUUUAAAAAAACAAGAUUGAGUAUAGCUGCAUGGGAAAAUGUGUUGUUGUCCAUGGUCUAAUGCUUGUAGGGUAAGGACUGCACAAGAAGAGGACACUGUAGCCAUUGUUGGUAUAAAGAAUGAGAACA
Molecule: unclassified non-coding RNA, 914 nt
Filed under: Amphimedon queenslandica
Lineage: Eukaryota; Metazoa; Porifera; Demospongiae; Haplosclerida; Niphatidae
Description: uncharacterized LOC109585799, transcript variant X1
Source: RNAcentral